Molecule: ribosomal RNA, 1072 nt
Filed under: Roussoella intermedia
Lineage: Eukaryota; Fungi; Ascomycota; Dothideomycetes; Pleosporales; Thyridariaceae
Description: SSU rRNA
Rfam family: Eukaryotic small subunit ribosomal RNA
Source: RNAcentral
AGCAAUUAUACCGUGAAACUGCGAAUGGCUCAUUAAAUCAGUUAUCGUUUAUUUGAUAGUACCUUACUACUUGGAUACCCGUGGUAAUUCUAGAGCUAAUACAUGCAAAAAACCCCGACUUCGGGAGGGGUGUAUUUAUUAGAUAAAAAACCAAUGCCCUUCGGGGCUCCUUGGUGAUUCAUAAUAACUUAACGGAUCGCAUGGCCUUGCGCCGGCGACGGUUCAUUCAAAUUUCUGCCCUAUCAACUUUCGAUGGUAAGGUAUUGGCUUACCAUGGUUUCAACGGGUAACGGAUUUUUAGGGAAAGAUCCCGGAGAGGGAGCCUGAGAAACGGCUACCACAUCCAAGGAAGGCAGCAGGCGCGCAAAUUACCCAAUCCCGACACGGGGAGGUAGUGACAAUAAAUACUGAUACAGGGCUCUUUUGGGUCUUGUAAUCGGAAUGAGUACAAUUUAAAUACCUUAACGAGGAACAAUUGGAGGGCAAGUCUGGUGCCAGCAGCCGCGGUAAUUCCAGCUCCAAUAGCGUAUAUUAAAGUUGUUGCAGUUAAAAAGCUCGUAGUUGAACCUUGGGCCUGGCUGGCCGGUCCGCCUCACCGCGUGUACUGGUCCGGCCGGGCCUUUCCUUCUGGAGAACCGCAUGCCCUUCACUGGGUGUGUCGGGGAACCAGGACUUUUACUUUGAGAAAAUUAGAGUGUUCAAAGCAGGCCUUUGCUCGAAUACGUUAGCAUGGAAUAAUAGAAUAGGACGUGCGGUCCUAUUUUGUUGGUUUCUAGAACCGCCGUAAUGAUUAAUAGGGAUAGUCGGGGGCGUCAGUAUUCAAUUGUCAGAGGUGAAAUUCUUGGAUCUAUUGAAGACUAACUACUGCGAAAGCAUUCGCCAAGGAUGUUUUCAUUAAUCAGUGAACGAAAGUUAGGGGAUCGAAGACGAUCAGAUACCGUCGUAGUCUUAACCGUAAACUAUGCCGACUAGGGAUCGGGCGAUGUUUCUAUAUUGACUCGCUCGGCACCUUACGAGAAAUCAUAAGUUUUUGGGUUCUGGGGGGAGUAUGGUCGCAAGGCUGAAACUUAAG